GGGACGUGUGGUGGGAGACGUCAUGAUACUGUCGGGAGGAGCUGUGUGUGAGAUUACGGUGUUGAAGGGGAAGGACUGGAGGCAGGUGCAGUGGGUGUGUGACCAACAAUGGUCAGGGAAGGGACAGCCGGGGAGUAACUGGGGAAAGCAGGGACCAGCAGAAGUCAUGUGUUUAAAACAAGACACCAGGCCCAAAUGGAGCUGCUUAGGCUAAGCCCCAUGUCAACAAGCUGAGACUUAAUUAGACUUUUGGCCCUCCCAGGAAUGGAAUCUUAAACCAGUCAAUGGGGAAUUGCCUGAUGAGCAGCAGGUAGGUCAUCUUCCUGAUAGAGCCCUGCCAUCCCCUAAAGGAAGGUAACCUUGCAGUAACUAACCAUCUUUUUUGUCUAGUGUAACUUCCUUCUUCUUGCUCCCUUCUGCCUAUAAAAGUCUUUCAUUUUACAUCCCCUCAGAG
Ceratotherium simum simum (southern white rhinoceros) is the source of this 454-nucleotide non-coding RNA. The record is from RefSeq and is a predicted model, not a curated record. Lineage: Eukaryota; Metazoa; Chordata; Mammalia; Perissodactyla; Rhinocerotidae.